UGUCUAUACAAAAAUUUGUUAGUAUAAAAUCUCUAAAGAACUUAUGAAGUGCAAAUAAAGAACUAAAAUCAAUUUGUGUCGCGAAAUUCACAGUAUUCAUAUUUCUGCCCUACCUUUUCAUUUCCUUUUCUUGGCGAAUGUGCCGUUCACGAUCUGCCUUCAUAGCCUCCGGACUGUAAAACGUUAGCCAAUAUUCCAUACUUUGGUU
Non-coding RNA from Schizosaccharomyces pombe (fission yeast), 208 nucleotides. The record is from the annotation of a GenBank genome assembly. Lineage: Eukaryota; Fungi; Ascomycota; Schizosaccharomycetes; Schizosaccharomycetales; Schizosaccharomycetaceae.